GGGAAACCGGGGCUAAUACCGGAUAACAUUUUGAACUGCAUGGUUCGAAAUUGAAAGGCGGCUUCGGCUGUCACUUAUGGAUGGACCCGCGUCGCAUUAGCUAGUUGGUGAGGUAACGGCUCACCAAGGCAACGAUGCGUAGCCGACCUGAGAGGGUGAUCGGCCACACUGGGACUGAGACACGGCCCAGACUCCUACGGGAGGCAGCAGUAGGGAAUCUUCCGCAAUGGACGAAAGUCUGACGGAGCAACGCCGCGUGAGUGAUGAAGGCUUUCGGGUCGUAAAACUCUGUUGUUAGGGAAGAACAAGUGCUAGUUGAAUAAGCUGGCACCUUGACGGUACCUAACCAGAAAGCCACGGCUAACUACGUGCCAGCAGCCGCGGUAAUACGUAGGUGGCAAGCGUUAUCCGGAAUUAUUGGGCGUAAAGCGCGCGCAGGUGGUUUCUUAAGUCUGAUGUGAAAGCCCACGGCU
RNAcentral lists this ribosomal RNA (473 nucleotides) under Bacillus sp. (in: firmicutes). RNAcentral describes it as "bacterial SSU rRNA". It matches the Rfam family "Bacterial small subunit ribosomal RNA", at positions 151 to 609 of the family's 1533-position model. Lineage: Bacteria; Bacillati; Bacillota; Bacilli; Caryophanales; Bacillaceae. The record is from RNAcentral.